GGUGAAUUACCAAGUUAAUUUCUGAAUUGUCACUUAAGUAAAAAUUAGGUUUUUAAACUAUUUUUUUAGAAAAAUCAGUCAUUGAAUUAUAAAAACCUGUCAACUACAUCCCUAAUAUUAGAUUUGAAGCUACUGUAUUCAAUUUAAGUCAUGUUACUUGCAUAUGAUACACAUUGAAUGGUAGAUUGGUAAUUUUCAUAAAUAAAUUAUGUGAAAUCCCGUCCCCGGAUAUCACUAUUUAAAAUUAUGUAUUUCGUAUUCUUAGUUUUGACGCGUUUGUAUUUGCGGUGUUUAAUUUUUUUCCAAUAAGUAAAAUGACGAAAUUGCCCCUAUUGUAUUAAACAUGAUUUCUUUGCGGAUGUAUUUGAUCCUUUCAUGAUUUUUCAGAUUUCUUUACUUAUUCAAAUAAUACAUCUCAAUAGGGGUGGGUUCAAAAAACCGAAAAUCAAACCAAACCGAAAAAAAAAACCGAACCGAAAAAAAAAACCGAACCGAAACUACCAAACCGAACCGAAUUGAACCGAACCGAAAAAAAAUUCAUAUAUAAAUACUAAAAAAGACAUGUUGCCGUCGGGGUUUGAACCCUUUCCCUACGGGUUGGGGUUGGUUGUUGCAAGCCAACUUGACUGUAGGCUUUGUGUUGUUAUAAUUGUACUAGUAAUUUAUUUAUAGGUUUCUUAUGUUUAAUGCUUUAUAAAAUUUCUUAACUUUACAAACCCUAGCUGUCUCACUCCCAUUUCAUUUCAGAUCUCAAACACCUCUCUGUUCUGUCCGCUGCUUCCUCUUUGCCUUUGCUUCCUCUCUUUCUCUCUCUCUCUUCCUCCCUCUCCCUCUCCUUCCUCUCUUCCUCCAAAUCACUCUCUCCAAUCUUCUCCUGUCCUCCUCGCGGAUUCCUUCUUCCAAACCAUGAUUUUCCCUUGCCCUUUUCGAGAUCUGACAAAAAGAGGAAUUGAAAGAGCUUGCGACGAUCAUGGCUAUAUCGCUGCAACAAAGAUCUAUUGUGGACUUGACUAUGAAUUUGAAUGUGGGCACUGGGCAUGCGCUAUUGAAGUCCGAUUAUGGUAUUUAGAAGAACCCAAUUGCUUUUUUUUUUUUCGAUUUGCAUUGAUCAUUUAAUUUGUUGAGUUAUUUCAUGAUUUUGUAAAUUUUAAAGUUUUUGAAUUUUGAAUCUUGGCGAUGUACAUUUCCUUGAAGAAUAUAUGUUUAUGUAUUUGCUUAACUUUUGAAAAUUUGAAUUCGUUCUGCUUGAUCACAAGUAGUUGAAUUACUUGAAUAUAUUCAGGAUUUUGAGGCUCUCAAUUCUCUGAUAUAUGAGAACUGGGAGGUUGAUAGGUAGGUUCCUUCCAUUUACAUCAU
Molecule: long non-coding RNA, 1356 nt
Organism: Pyrus x bretschneideri (Chinese white pear)
Lineage: Eukaryota; Viridiplantae; Streptophyta; Magnoliopsida; Rosales; Rosaceae
Exons: 2
Source: RefSeq, a predicted model, not a curated record